This 460-nucleotide ribosomal RNA is filed under the name uncultured bacterium. Its description in RNAcentral is "partial 16S ribosomal RNA". It matches the Rfam family "Bacterial small subunit ribosomal RNA", at positions 338 to 795 of the family's 1533-position model. The record is from RNAcentral.
CCUACGGGAGGCAGCAGUGAGGAAUAUUGGUCAAUGGACGAGAGUCUGAACCAGCCAAGUAGCGUGAAGGAUGACUGCCCUAUGGGUUGUAAACUUUUUUUAUAUGGGAAUAAAAUGUUCCACGUGUGGGCUUUUGUAUGUACCAUAUGAAUAAGGAUCGGCUAACUCCGUGCCAGCAGCCGCGGUAAUACGGAGGAUACGAGCGUUAUCCGGAUUUAUUGGGUUUAAAGGGAGCGUAGGUGGAUUGUUAAGUCAGUUGUGAAAGUUUGGGGCUCAACCGUAAAAUUGCAGUUGAAACUGGCAGUAUUGAGUACAGUAGAGGUGGGCGGAAUUCGUGGUGUAGCGGUGAAAUGCUUAGAUAUCACGAAGAACUCCGAUUGCGAAGGCAGUUCACUGGACUGCAACUGACACUGAGGCUCGAAAGUGUGGGGAUCAAACAGGAUUAGAUACCCCUGUAGUC